This 472-nucleotide ribosomal RNA is filed under the name uncultured Anaerolineaceae bacterium. Its description in RNAcentral is "bacterial SSU rRNA". It matches the Rfam family "Bacterial small subunit ribosomal RNA", at positions 897 to 1382 of the family's 1533-position model. Lineage: Bacteria; Bacillati; Chloroflexota; Anaerolineae; Anaerolineales; Anaerolineaceae. The record is from RNAcentral.
AAACUUAAAGGAAUUGACGGGGACCCGCACAAGCAGCGGAGCGUGUGGUUUAAUUCGAUGCUACACGAAGAACCUUACCAGGGUUUGACAUGCAAGUGGUAGGAAACUGAAAAGGGACCGACCCUUCGGGGAGCUUGCACAGGUGCUGCAUGGCUGUCGUCAGCUCGUGUCGUGAGAUGUUCGGUUAAGUCCGCUAACGAGCGCAACCCUCACUGUGUGUUAUAUGUGUCACACGGGACUGCCGGUUUUAAGCCGGAGGAAGGUGGGAUGACGUCAAGUCAGCAUGGCCUUUAUAUCCUGGGCUACACACACGCUACAAUGGUCGGUACAAUAGGUUGCCAAGCCGCGAGGCGGAGCCAAUCCAAAAAAGCCGGCCUCAGUUCAGAUUGUAGGCUGCAACUCGCCUGCAUGAAGAUGGAGUUGCUAGUAACCGCAGGUCAGCAAUACUGCGGUGAAUACGUUCCCGGGCCUU